CCGCGGUAAUACGGAGGGAGCUAGCGUUGUUCGGAAUUACUGGGCGUAAAGCGCGCGUAGGCGGCUUAGCAAGUUGGGGGUGAAAUCCCGGGGCUCAACCUCGGAACUGCCUCCAAAACUGCUAAGCUAGAAUCCUGGAGAGGUGAGUGGAAUUCCUAGUGUAGAGGUGAAAUUCGUAGAUAUUAGGAAGAACACCAGUGGCGAAGGCGACUCACUGGACAGGUAUUGACGCUGAGGUGCGAAAGCGUGGGGAGCGAACAGGAUUAGAUACCCUGGUAGUCCACGCCGU
RNAcentral lists this ribosomal RNA (289 nucleotides) under bacterium. Its description in RNAcentral is "partial 16S ribosomal RNA". It matches the Rfam family "Bacterial small subunit ribosomal RNA", at positions 515 to 803 of the family's 1533-position model. The record is from RNAcentral.